RNAcentral lists this long non-coding RNA (270 nucleotides) under Fukomys damarensis (Damara mole-rat). Its description in RNAcentral is "lncRNA (ENSFDAG00000023406.1)". Lineage: Eukaryota; Metazoa; Chordata; Mammalia; Rodentia; Bathyergidae. The record is from RNAcentral.
UUAGAAAAAGCUGAAUGUGAGAUUACAGGUGGUCUGAUAGGAGCACAAAAAGCACAUCAUCAAAAGUUGUCCCCAAGGAAGAGGCAAAGAGACACACAUAAGCGGUCGUACUGAACAUGCACAUGGGAAGAUCUUGAGAGAGAAAAUGCUUACAGGUAUUCCAGGAGGAUCAAUCCUUGGCGCUUUUCUCUUCUUCUUGAUAGUCUUUCCGUGGACACCCGCAUUCAUUCUUUAUUUGAGGGAAGAUUCCCAACUCCAGCGCUGGCCCAC